Molecule: long non-coding RNA, 7442 nt
Organism: Bactrocera neohumeralis
Lineage: Eukaryota; Metazoa; Arthropoda; Insecta; Diptera; Tephritidae
Exons: 2
Source: RefSeq, a predicted model, not a curated record
AUUAAAAAUUAUAUUUAUGCAAUUUAAAAUCUUGAAUUUGGAAAAAGCUUAACAUGAAAAGCUUUUAAAUUUGCUAACGAGUAGCGUGCUUUUUACUAACGAAUGCAGCGCUUGCUGACAAGUAAUGUUAUUAUAGUGUUGUUGUUACAGUGGAGUGCUUUUGGAGCUUUUGAAGAGUCUAAAAUUAGGAAAUAUAAACGAACUUUGACAUUUGCAGGAUUUAAGCACCUGUUUUCAUUAAAAAUUAUAUUUAUGUAAUUAUGUGCUUGAGAACUGAUAAUUAUUGUUUGAGCUAGUGGUGCCUAAAAGUAUGCAAUAUUUUUUUGAAUUCGAUUGUGUUUUUUCGAAAUCCAGUAAUAUCUAGUUUUAAGUUUCUCUUUUACCGAAUUUCAGAAUUUGCCACAUGACAACAAUCUCAGCAUCGGCGUCUAAGGUCUCUACAAAGUCAUUACAUCACUAAAAUACUGAAAUUAAGCGCUUAAAAGUAGGCAAAAGAUUUUAAAUUCCAAUAUUUCACCGAAAAAUAUCAUUCAUUCUCUGAUUCAAACUAAAAAUAUAAAAAUUAAACGAACGAAGCCUUAAAAUAGACACCUGAAAGUAUGCUAAAUAAACGAGUGACGUAAAAGAUAUUCUAAAAUUAUUGUACUAUCGCAAUUUUCUAAAAAGUCGUCAAAUGCGCAAGUUCUUAAUUCAUGAGACAACUAAAAGUAUGCAAGAAUUUUAAAAAUACAUUUAUAAUUAAUAUUUUUAAUGUUAUAUGAAGCCGUGUUGACCAUCUUUUAAAUGAUAAGUAUAAAUUUUAUGUUCUUCAUCAAUUCAAAGUAGAAUGUACUUAACAAUUUAUUAACGUUCAUAAAUUUUUAUUUCGAAAUAAAAAGGUAAAGCGCCUACAUGUAUGUCUCUUCGAAAGUUUUCUGCGAUUUAUCGAUUUGCAAUUAUCUAUUGCGGUUUAUAAUUAUUAUAGUUCGCCAGCAAAUGGAAUUAAGCUUCAAUGCAUUAUUACAACACGCCUAAAAUUAUGCAAAGCUACAGCUUUUCACAUAAUAUUAACGCAGAUAGCGACAGUUUCUGUCAUUAAAAUCAUUUCUCUGCACAAAUCUAGCGAUUAUAAGCAGUUAUUCGAGAGAAAAUUAUAUACGUACAUACAUACAUAUGUAUAUUAGGAUGAGCCAAAAAAAACCUGUCAAAUACAUCAGUUAAAUUAAACUUAUAUGUGCAUAAGUACAGAGAAAAAAUAUCCGAGGAAGGAAGCUCUUUAAAGCUUUAAAAUAGAUGGUUUUUUGAAUGCAUCGCUUAAUUUGCAGAAAAAAUAUCCCUGCAAGAGAUUUUUAGACUUUUCCAAGCUUAUAAAUGUAGGAACCUACCAAAUUCAGGGGAUAAAAUGAAAUGUAUUUAGAACGAAAAAAAUAUCCCUGAAAGAAAGUUUGUUUUAUUACUUUUAAAAAGCUUUUAAAUAUAAUAUCCUGUGGAAUUUAUGAGUUAAAGCAAAACUAUAAUAAUGGGAAAAAAUAUCCCUGUUAAGAUUUUUUUCAUUUUCCAAAGUUUUUAUGUAUGUAGGUAUAUGGCUUAAUUCAUCGAAUAAAAUGAAUAUAUUCAUAAACAGAAAAAAAUAUCCCUGCAAAGAAUUUCUUUUUACUUUUCAAAGUUUUUAAAUUUUUAAACCAAUCAAAUUGAGGGGAUAAAAUAAAUCUAUACAUAUAUGUAUGUGUACAUAUAUGUACAAAGCGAAACUUAUACCUGUAAGGAAAUUUUUUUUCACUUUUCAAACAUUUUAAACAUAAAAACUUGUCAAAUUAAUGCGUUAAAAUGAACCUACAUAUGUACAUACAUAUAUAGAAAAAAAUGUCACGGCAGAGAAUUUUUUUUUUACCUUUCAAUGCUCAAAUAUAUGAAUUUUUGAAUUCAUGGGUUAAAAAUAACAUCUUGCAAAGAACAUUUUUUCACUUUUUCCGGCUUUUAAAUAAAUAAAGUUGUGAACUUCAUGGGUUUAAAUGAACUCAUAUACAGAAAAAAUAUCCCUGCAGGUACAAUUUUUGUCACUUUUCAAUGAAUUUAUAUAUGUUUAUAAACCUAUCGAAUUCGUGGAUUAAAAUUAACAUAUACAUAUGUAUAUUUCAUAUUGCACGUAUUUGGUUUUUUUUACUUUUCGAAGCUUUUUAAUAUACAAACCUGUCGAAUUCAUAAGAAAAAAUGUAUCUUAAUACAUCGAAAAAAAUAUCCCUCCAAGGGAAAUUUUUUUCCACUAUUCAAAGCUUUAAGUAUACGAAUCUCGAACAAAUGGUUAUGACGUUUUUAAUGAAAACAUUAUUUUUACGUAUUAUUUAUAAGGGAUAUUUUGAAGGCUCACUGACAACGUUACAAUUAAGCUGAAAUAUGUUCCUUGUAGAGCUAUUCUUUCGCUGUACAUAUAUACAAUAUAGGUUCAUUACAACUCAUAAAUUCGAUAUUACUUUUUUUUAGCCCACUCUAAUGUACGUAUGCAUGUCUAUUAGCCUUUCCGCUGGAUUAAAAACAAUUACAAUAACCCUCUAAUGAGACGGUAUUUCAUUGUACGCACAUUUAAAUGAAAGUGACGUUGAGGAGUAAAUCCUUUGAUUUCACAAUAAACGUAAUAAUAAUUCAAAAUAAUUAAUGAAGGGCGCAAACGCACUCACACACACAUACGCUUAGCAUUUUCGCUGACACUCCCACGUGGCAUAAUUAGGUGCAAUACUUAGUGCCACGCAGCAGCCAUUAGCGGCGCAGCUUUGUUUUCGCGUAAAGGAAAUAUGAAAAGGAAAAGCGUGAAAGAUUAAAAGAUUGAAUAAUGUAUGUGUUUGGUUGUGUGAUAUUUGCGAUUGGAUAAAGGGCAUAAGAGAAAAGUAUGUGAAUGACGGCAGCGAAAAAAAUGCUAAUGACAGUUAAUUAAAAAAAGCGUUUCCUUUUUGCAUGACAAAACAAAGGGAACGAAAGGAAACUUUCAAACAAAAGGCGAAGGUGCAAAAUUUGGGUAGCAUGCUUUUAGGCGUAUUAAUGGAUUACACUUAUGCUUUUAAAUUUCAGUGCGCCUGUAGAUAUGUGGUGAUUUCUGAUUUAAAACUUUAAAAACUGUAUAAUGGCACAUAUUGAGCUCUUUUAUAGAGGGUUGAUUAAAGAGUCAAAUUAAGCAGAAAUUGAGAAAAGAAAUAUUAAACUAACUUUCAAAAGCUAUUCAGCUCCAUUUAAACGCGCGAUAAAUAUGAUUUUUUGAAUAUCAAUAUCUUCAUAUAUUUUUUCCAAGCUUUUUAAAUUCAUUGCAAGCUUUCUAAGGUUGCGUGAAAGCUUCUAACAUUAAAGUUUUCUAAGGAUGCGUGAAAGCUUCUAAGCUUACACUAAUGUUUUCUAAGGUUGCAGGAAAGCUGUUAAGCAUACAAAACAGUUUUCUAAGUUUUCACGAAAGCAUCUAAGUAUGCAUAAAAGCUUUUAAACUUGUCAUUAAAGCUUUAAGCAUCUUUUCAUAUUUUGCAAAAGGCAUGAAAACGUAUAAAAAAAUGUGUAACUUUUAGCUGUACGUAGUAGAGGCUUAUAGAUAACUAUGAAUUAGAAAACGUUUAAUAGAUCAAAGCUUUAAAAAAUAAUACCUUUGAAUGCUCUAGGUGGAGCUAAAACUAAAAAGCUUUUUAAUCGAAUUAAGCUUUUAAUAACUUGGAAAGAUUUGAACAAAUUAUUUGUGUGAAAGCUUUAAGUUCAACUGUUAGUCGAAACACAGAAAUAUUGGUAUUUAGAAUAUUGCGCUUUUACUCGAAAGCUCAGAACUAUUGAUGUUUAGAAGCUUAAAGCUUGAUGAAUUUUAAAAUUAGUUUGUUACAAAUGAGUACAUGUGAAAACACGAAUUUUUGCAAGUGUAAGGAUUUAUAAAUGUUAGGCUAACUUCCAUUAUAUUUCAGUAUACUAGAGUGUUGACUAAAGAGUCAAAUUCAGACGGAGUGAACGAAAAUUUAUAUAGCAUAAAAAUUACAAAAAUUUAAGUUUUGUUAGCAACCUCUUAAGAUUUCCACGCACAGUGGAAAAGAGCUUUAAAGCUUUUCAUAUAUUGCAAACAAAAACAUUUUUUUAAUUAUCCUUUUUUUUAUUAUAUGAUAUUAUACGAGAAAGAAGUUCAUGAAUUUGUGGAAAUCGACUAGGUUUUAAAAAAUCAUUUUUCGAAAGCUUUGAAAGCUUUAAAUUUGAAAGCGCAGAAAUAUUGAUAUUUAGAAGCUUAAAAUUUGAUUGAGCUUUCGUUUCUUUUUAAAUUAUUAAGAAAUACUGUGGAAGCUCAAAAUGCAUAAAAAACAUGCUCAAAAGGCUGAACCUUUAUGAUAUGGUAGGAUUCUUCAAUUGACUAAAGAAGAAAAGCUCAAAGUACUUUGAUCCAUUUGUUAUUCAGAAUUCAAGUUUUUUACGAGCUUUCACGUUUCUGAAUUAAUUGCUACAAUAAAAGCUCCAACUACUAUUAUUAGCAUAGAGAGUGUCACAUUUGAAAGCACGAGCUUUCAUAGGAUUAUGUGACAAGUGAAUGCUGUUCAUAAUAAAUAAAUAAAUAGUAAAUAGUAAAUAAUAAAAUGUGCACACAAAAGCUACAUGAACUACUAAAACUUUAAAUAGUUUACAAAAUAGUUAUAAAUAAAGCACUUGUUCAAAACUGUUACUGUAUUAUACACCACAUACUUUUGUACGAAUACUAAAGAAAAUUAUGUAGACUUUUUUAGAAUUGUUAAGUGAGAAAAUUAAUUACUAAUAUUUAAUUCAACCCUUGAAGCUAUGAAGAAAGUUAAUGUUUUAAAACAUUUUCCUACAAGUUGUUAAUAAUCUAACAAAAACGAAGAACAAUGUAAAAUAGGUAUAUAAAAAAAUCCAGAUUAAAUUUAAUAAAAUUAAAAAUCGAAGUAAAAUGCCUUGAACUCUAACCCUUGCCUAAUAAUUUUAAAUUAUAAUGUUUAGCGGAGAAAUUUGUUAUACCUCUGUGCUGUCUAAAAUUAAAAAAAAAUUGUUAGCAGUAGAAAAUUAUUUAAAAAAACUGAGCUUUCAUAUUUCUGCAAAGCUUAUCUGCAGCUUUCACUAAUUUUCUACAUUAAUAUAUGAUUUGUAAAUAUGUGUGCAUGCACUUAAAAACUUCGUAGUCACUUUCAAGCUCGAAAAGUUUCUUAGCGGUUACAUCUUGAGCUUUCACUCGAACUGAUUUUAUUGCAGUUUAUUUUUUAGUUCAUUUUAAAGAAGUAAUCGCUUGAAAUAGUAUUCCUAGUUUUUUAAGUAAGCAGUAGAAAAUAUAUGUAAUGGAAAUAGCUGAGCUUUCACUCACUGAGCUUUCAUACUACAGCUUUCACUAAUUUUACUGAUUAAUACAUAGUUUAAAGUCCAUAUACUAUAUUUAAAAAAUUAUAGUAUUUUUCAACCUCGUCAAGUUACUUAGAUUAGACUUUUGGAGCUUUCACUCGAACAGAUUAUAUUGCAAUUUUUUUAGUUCAUUUAAAGAAGUAAGCGCUUCAAAUAGUAUUCUUAACUUUUUAAGUAAGCAGUAGAAAGUGAAAGUAAUGGAAAUAGCUGAGCUUUCACUCACUGAGCUUUCACACUACAACUUUUUAAUUUUUUAAUUUUACUGUUUAAUAUAUAGCUUAAAAUAUAUAAGCCUUCCUUAAGAAAAAUUUUGCAAGCUCUAAAAGCUACUUAGCGUAUACUUUUUAAACUUUCGCUCGUAAAAAGUUAUGGUAAUUUUUUAACUCAUUCUAGUCGUUUCUUACAUCAUUGUUAAUUUUUAUAUAAUAAAAACAAAAAAAUAUUACAAAAGUAGUAUAAAGCUUUACUGGAAGCUUUAUACCUUAAUAAAAAUAAUGUUGGUGAAAGUUUUCGAAAAUUAUAUGCUCACUGCUUACCGAAAGUAUAAAACUGCAGAUUUUGAACGUAUCAAAAAUUUAGUGAAAGCUCUAUAUGCCAUAAGUUAUUUCAGAUAAUACAGAAAACCUCAGCGACUUUAAGAAGGGUAGACUACUUUAAUGCUAUAGUGCUUUGUUAGAAGUUUAAAAGAUUGCCCAAAAACAGAUAAUUAGUUGAAAGCUCUUACAACAGUGAAACGGUGAAAGUUUAACGCAUGGGUUGUUGCUUGUUUGUUUUUUUUUUUUUUUUUGAAGUUUAAAGCUUACUGCUUAUUGAAAGUAUGAAAUGUAAAUUUUAAUACAAAUAAAAAUACAAUAAAAGCUCUAUAUGCAAUAAGCUUUUGUUGUUUGCUAUUUUGUUUUGCUAUUUCAUGUUCAAAGCCUUGUCAAACCUAUACCCAAGUGUUAAAAAGUAACAAAAACUUAUAAUUGUGAAAUAAAUGAUUUUCAAAAUAUUUUAGGUAUGCACUGCAUAACAAUUGACUACUAAUAUCAUAUAACUAGAUGCAGAAAUAAAUAAUCAAACCAAAUAACGAAUUGAGAGCUUUCACAACAAUGUGGGUGAAAGUAUAACGCAUGCGGUUAUUUGUGAUUUUUUUUAUUUUGUUACUUUAAGCUCAAAGUUUUGUCAAGCCCUUACCUAAGUGUUAAAAAGUAACAAAAAUAUUUAAAUGUGAAAGUUCAAGAAAGUUUUUAUGAUUUUCAAAAGCUUUUGGAGUUUCACUGCAUAACAAUUAACUACUAAUUGCAGGAAUUGAUGCCAUAUGGAGUUGGUAUAAUCCUCAUUAAACAUUUUAUAAAAAAUUAAGCUCUGUUAAAUAAAAUAAAAUAAAAUAUAUUAAAAAAAAAAAAAACAUUGUAAAAAAUUAGCAUUAGUACUAUUACAACUAAAUAAUGAAAACUCAAACCUUGUGAUCCAAAAACUUUCUUCUCUUCCAUGAAAAGAAUUAUUAGUUACCUAAAUACUUGUAUACAAAUACCAACUGUAUAUUGUAGUAUAAAGAAAUUUGUUACUUUUAAUGCUGAAUACGACUAAUUAGUGAAUUUAAUAAAGUAAAAAAUUAACACAAAUAAAUUAUACCGAAUUGAAGUGAUUUGAAAAGUAAUGAAGAGAAACGUCUAACCUACAAAGAAAAACUUGAAAAUUUACAAUUAUUAUAAAAUUAGUAGGCAUAAGCAUAUAUUUAGUGGAGCAUGUUGAGAGUUCGUUUACUACCAAAUACAAAUUAAAUAAUAACAGCAUAUAAUUAAAUAAAUUACGUUUAUAAUUAAUGCAAUAUUAUGAUACUAAUUAGUGCAUUUACUUCCAGGAAUUAAUUAACCAACUAUUCCUAAAUAAUUACGAAAAACAGAAUUGAAAACACUUAAUUAAAGAAUGUAUACCAAAAUGUCAUGUCUGAAAGUGGCAUCAAAUACACUACAAUAGAAAAGUGAGCUGACACUUAUGAUUCGAUACUCAAAAGCGUUCGAUACUUAAUUGAAACUGUAGAAUAUGGUAACUCUUAAAACUGAAUAAUACAAAGAUUAUACAGCACAUUGAAAGAAAUAAUAAAUAAAUAUUAAUACAUGAAAUAA